RNAcentral lists this ribosomal RNA (372 nucleotides) under uncultured Glomus. RNAcentral's name for it is "SSU rRNA". It matches the Rfam family "Eukaryotic small subunit ribosomal RNA", at positions 569 to 944 of the family's 1831-position model. Lineage: Eukaryota; Fungi; Glomeromycota; Glomeromycetes; Glomerales; Glomeraceae. The record is from RNAcentral.
AGCAGCCGCGGUAAUUCCAGCUCCAAUAGCGUAUAUUAAAGUUGUUGCAGUUAAAAAGCUCGUAGUUGAAUUUCGGGAUCAUCAGGUUGGUCGUGCCUCCGGUAUGUACUUGCUUCGGUGGUCCCUCCUUCUUGAAGAACCGUAAUGCCAUUAAUUUGUUGUUGCGGGGAAACAGGACUGUUACUUUGAAAAAUUAGAGUGUUUAAAGCAGGCAAAUCGCUUGAAUACAUUAGCAUGGAAUAAUGAAAUAGGACGUUCGAUCCUAUUUUGUCGGUUUCUAGGAUUUACGUAAUGAUUAAUAGGGAUAGUUGGGGGCAUUAGUAUUCAAUUGUCAGGAGGUGAAAUUCUUGGAUUUAUUGAAGACUAACUACU